GUCUACAGCCAUGCUAUCUUGAACAAGCUUGAUUCCUCUGAUCUUGGAAGCUAACCAGGAUCGGUCCUGGUUAGUAUUUGGAUGGGAGACCACCUAGGAAGACCAGGUGUUGUAGGCA
This 118-nucleotide ribosomal RNA is filed under the name Pteropus alecto (black flying fox). Lineage: Eukaryota; Metazoa; Chordata; Mammalia; Chiroptera; Pteropodidae. The record is from RNAcentral.